Molecule: unclassified non-coding RNA, 234 nt
Filed under: plant metagenome
Description: partial contains small subunit ribosomal RNA, internal transcribed spacer 1, and 5.8S ribosomal RNA
Rfam family: Eukaryotic small subunit ribosomal RNA (bases 1-53)
Source: RNAcentral
GGAGUAAAAGUCGUAACAAGGUUUCCGUAGGUGAACCUGCGGAAGGAUCAUUCAUAAUAAGUGUUUUAUGGCACUUUUUUAAAUCCAUAUCCACCUUGUGUGCAAUGUCAGGGUUGAUUUUUCUCUCGAGAGGAUUAGCCCCAAACAUCAACUAUAUCUCAACUCUUUGUCUGAAAAAUAUUAUGAAUAAAACAAUUCAAAAUACAACUUUCAACAACGGAUCUCUUGGCUCUC